UGCUUCUGUGAAACUGUGGCGAGGAAGUACCGUCAGAUGUGAAAAUUGACAAUAUCUCAUCCACUUUUUCUGAAU
Seriola aureovittata is the source of this 75-nucleotide small nucleolar RNA. RefSeq annotates it as small nucleolar RNA SNORD49. Lineage: Eukaryota; Metazoa; Chordata; Actinopteri; Carangiformes; Carangidae. The record is from RefSeq and is a predicted model, not a curated record. The transcript has a single exon.